Molecule: transfer RNA, 72 nt
Filed under: Perkinsus olseni
Lineage: Eukaryota; Perkinsozoa; Perkinsida; Perkinsidae
Description: tRNA-Cys
Rfam family: tRNA
About the family: Transfer RNA (tRNA) molecules are approximately 80 nucleotides in length. Their secondary structure includes four short double-helical elements and three loops (D, anti-codon, and T loops).
Source: RNAcentral
GGGUGUGUAGCUCAGUGGUAGAGCGGCUGACUGCAGAUCAACAGGUCCUCAGUUCUAAUUCGGGCGCACCCU